UUCAAGAAUAGCCUCCCCUUAUCGAAAAGAAGGGUCCGAAGAAGACAGAACUGGCCAUCCUUCUCAUCCCCCUAAGGAAGUAGAGCGCGGUGAAAGAAUUCCGUCGUUCAGUCGAAGGGGACAGGUUAGCAGCUUCAGGAUAACCCGAGCAGUGAAAGAGAAGUAGGGUUCAGGCCAAUCGAUCCUAUUUCGAUUAUACGGCUGGGUUCUAAACCAAAAAAGGGCAUUUGAAAGCAGAGCAAGUAUUAGUAGCAUAACAAAAAAGCCUUCCUCGUCAUUAAUAUCUUUGCUCGCGGCAAUUGUGACCUCUCGGGAGAAUC
RNAcentral lists this long non-coding RNA (320 nucleotides) under Nicotiana benthamiana. RNAcentral's name for it is "long non-coding RNA (NBEN_LNC009970)". The record is from RNAcentral. Lineage: Eukaryota; Viridiplantae; Streptophyta; Magnoliopsida; Solanales; Solanaceae.